This is a long non-coding RNA of Pygocentrus nattereri (red-bellied piranha), 4899 nucleotides long. RefSeq lists it as uncharacterized. The record is from RefSeq and is a predicted model, not a curated record. NCBI's taxonomy places the organism in Eukaryota, Metazoa, Chordata, Actinopteri, Characiformes, Serrasalmidae. The transcript has 2 exons.
UGGGGGUCUCGACUUUAACUCAAGUACAUGGUUUGUGUUCUUCGUCCACCUCUGCCUUAGGUUUACAUCACGUCUUCUUCUGUGAGUUUAUUGGCUGGUUGGAAAGCAGAAGGAGUUUCCCCAUUAUUUGAUUACUCAAGCGCAUAUAAGCGCAUUGAUCGGAUUGCAGACCAAAUCUGGUUUUCUGCAGCGAUCAGGUGAUUAAGUGCAUGUGAACGCACUCACUGAUUAAUUGUGAACCUCUAUGAAGUCUAUAUAUGAAGUUAAAACGUAUUACUUAGUGGACCUUUAACUGGUUUACAGCCUGAAGAUUUAAAACGUAUGUAGAUUACUUUGGUGUAAUCAGUGUGUUUUGUGUUUUUUUUUCCCUUUCAACUCUGCACUCCUCUGUGUGUGUUUGUGUUUCUCGUUGUCGAUACCCGCCUCCUUUCCAUUUGUCUAGUCUAGUAUAGGGAUGGGCACGAGCAAUCGACUGAGUCGUUGUUGCGGAACUCCCUGUUUGACGAGCAAAACGUUUCUUGAAAUUCGCAAAAUUAAUUUAAUGUUGUUUGAGAUGAAACGAGGAAAAACUCCUAAUACAGUCACACCUGAAUCUCGCCCGAGUUAUAGAUGAAACUUGGCAUGGCAGCGUUGCUAAAAGAGUCGGAUAGGUCUGCAUCGGACUGUCCGAUUUACCUUUAACUCCACAAAAUGACUCAAAGUGCCCAUCACUUGUAUAAUUUCCGAAAGGUAACACCUUCAUUUUGCACAGUCACAUCAUCUUUUCUGCUGCUUCAUUCUCUCUUCCUCUCUCUCCCCCCCUCUCUCUCUCUUUAUAAUGCAUAAUAUAAAUAGCAUAAGAUACUGAAUGAAAUGCAUUGGUUGAAAAUGAAAGUGAUGAUGAUGAUGAUGGCCAUUGAGACUGAGUUGCACCAGCCUUCAUGCUUCUACCUCAUAGGUCCAUUUCCAUUGUAGAGCCCAGCUCCACUCCUCUGUAACUAAACCUACUGAAGCCCACUGGCCUGCCGUCAGUGUUUGUCUUCUGCAGUAAUACAGAUGAGAUGCCCCGUCUCGUCCUGUCCCCCGUCAUAUCCUCACAGCCACCAGUACUGAUCAGUCCAUUCCCUCGAAACUUCAAGGGUCCGCCAAAUGGGAGCAGUGCUUAAUAUGGAUUUUUCAGCUCCUUAUAAAGGUAGAAAUCCUUUUCUGUAAGUAUUGAAACAGUUGUUUGCCACAUUGUGGGUUAUGAAAGAAACCAUGCAUAUGAAGCACUUACUCCGUACCGUUUUACGCCGGGUAUUUUUGUAAAUGCUGAUUGUUUUGGAUGGGUGGCGUAUUCAAGCGGUGGAAACUCCUCACAGUCCUUCAGUUCAGUUACAGUUCUUUAGGAACAUCCAUGAUUUGGAGCGUCCACAAUUUGAUUGUCCUGGUAUGAUGCAGAGUUAUUUUUAAAUAUGGACUAAAUACAAAAAAAAUAGUUUAAUGUUUAAGAUCCUAACAUUAUAAAAUGGGUGCAGUUGAAUCGGCGGUUUAGAUCAAUGCACUGGUUUCUUUAGUAGGGAUAACAGAAGGUCGCCGGUUCGAUCCCCAGAGCCGACAGCACAUGACUGAGGUGUCCUUGAGCAAGACCCCUAACCCCCAACUGCUCCCUGGGCGCUGAGGAUUGGGCUGCCCACCACUCUGGGCAAGUGUGCUCACUGCCCCCUAGAGUGUGUGUGUGCGCUCACUAGUGUGUAUGUGGUGUUUCACUGCACGGAUGGGUUAAAUGCGGAGGUGAAAUUUCCCCGUUGUGGGACUAAUAAGGGCUUCUUAAUCUUUAUGUGACUAAUAAACAGAUAUUCGUUUAAUUUCUGAAAAGGGGGAAAAAAAGACCAAUAAAUAAAAGACCGACUUCGGCCGAAAUGAAUGUACAGCUGUAAGCUUGCCUUUUUAGGUGACCGCACUGCCAACCCUACAAGGAAACGGUGCCAUUCAGAUGAACUAACUAGUUACACUACAGGUAGCCAGUACAGCGUUGGAGCCUUUCAUCUUCAGUGGACGACGUGCCAACAUUUUACUUGGUCAGGAAAAUAUAUUUUCAUGUUUUCUGGCCGUAGCCACCUCUGAUUACUCGAUCAGGUCCUUAAAAACAUGUUACUGACAAAACUCUGAUAAUAAGGCUUUCAUUAUUUAUUGUAGCAAAUACUUGUACUUACAUGCAAUUCAAGCAUUUUAAAGUUCUGUUAGGAAUUAAAAUGGCCUUUUCACCUAAUUGCUGACCUGCCAGCUUACGGACAUGACUUAAUGUGGCAACAAGCAGUCAAACUAGUUUUAUUAACUCGUUCAAAGUAUUUAUUUAGAUUGAGUAAAACUUGUAAAUGUACUUGUUUUCACAUUAAGUCAUGUUUUUGGUUGAACUCAUUUUUUUUUCCUGUGAUGAAACCCAGAGAGUGGUUGCAGUGCUGGAUUACUUGCCCCUCAAAUGACUCAUUGCUUGAAUGCCUGAACGCAUCCCUAAUUUUUACCACAUACUCAGGCCGGGCAAUAUGACGGUGUCUAUUGUUAUUGUGAUAAAGUACAUGACAGUAUGUCACGCGUCAUUGUGGCUAUUCUAAGCACUUGCACCCUGAAGCCUUAUUACAAAGAGAGCAUCGUUAGUCCUGUUUAAUUGCAUUUAGUGCAGCACAGUUUGUGAGAUUGUUAAGUAAAAAUAAAUUGCGCGUUUUUAUAAGUAUUAUUUCAAAUGUGGCUUCUUUUUUUUUUGGCCGUUAAACGUCUGAUCGUUUAUAAAUUUGAUAAUCCACAUUGUAGUUUUGCCGUAUCGCCCACUACUGCCUUUAGCAUAUAUUAAACCUUUAUGCCUUUGAUGCAUGAAUGCUUUGUUUUCAGUGUCCACUUUGAAGUUGUGCUAUCAAAGUCUGUCCCUUUUCUCCGUCCUUCACUAAAACAGGACGGGGUGGAAAUUCUGUUAUUCCAAAACAAUAAAACGUACAGGUAGCGAAAAUACCCUGUGAUAAAACGGUGACUUUCUAUGCUGUUGCUUCAUAUUCGGCAUUGCAUAUGUAACCCAAACUCACAGAAAUGACGAUGUGGCUGUGCUGUUCCAGAACUUUCAGAGAAAGCAGUACAAGGAAUAAUAAUAAUAAUAAUAAUAAUAAUAGUAAUAAAUGAACGCUGCUUAUUCAGAAAUGGAAAUUCAGUAUUGCUUUGUGCUUUACACAGUGACUGAUAACCCAGGAGCUUGGUUACAAACUAAUAUACUCAAAACAGUCUCUUCAUUUUACACUGCAGUCGUGAAUGCCCUUUGAGCUUUGACGUUUUUGCUCCUGAACGUGCUGAAAAUGCUGUUUGCUGUGUUGACUCCGCAUUUGAUUCCAGCAGGUUGACUCAGGAAUGGGUAGAAAAAGCAGGAGAAUGGAUAGAGAGAGAGAAAAGAGAGAGCGCACGCAACACUAAGAGCGUGCGCUGUCCUCUCUGUGCGAUCAAACACACUGUCGAGCCAAGUGUGUGCUUUCUCACUCGCUCUCUCCUUCAUGAUGCCUGGUCCAUGCCUAAGUUGAAAAACAGACUGACUCAAGUGUCAGGGACAAAACAAGUUGGCCAUCCUCACAUACUAAGAGAGGGAGAGAGUGAACUUUAACGAACGAGAUUAAGGCCGGUAUGGGCCGUUUUGAGAGCGGUUGGUCAGCCUUCUGCUUUCGUUCUCUCUCCGUCCAUCUUGGUUUGUUACUCAUCAGAAAAGAGGGAUGGAAAUAGUGUCGAAGCUCUUCGCAAGGAGCGCCUCCGCGUAAAACGAUGCUUAAAGGUUCUGCUUUAUUGGAAAAAGAAAAGUUGUUUUUAUUUUCAUUUUAUUUGCCAUUUUUGUGAAGAACAACAAUAUGGAAAACAUCCAAAUAACUUCUCCGCCGUGGGUUGCUGUGAUUUUGCUGUAAUGCUCUGUACUUUUCGUUGUUUUUAAAGAGUGGAUACGUAAACCCAUGAUAAGACCGAAGCCUCUGUUUGUUCUUGUAUUUUGUACCGAGUCCACUCCGGGUCCAGAAAUAGAAACCCAAUGAUUAUCAAUGGAGAAAAACACCAUGUCCUGCCUGCAUGAUUAUAACUGAGGUGCUUUAAAAAUGGAACACGAUGGAAAGAGCUUUGUUAAUGUACCCUUUUAAGUCAUCUCUUUGGGAGAACCCAAAAGAAAACGAAAAGAAAUAUACUAUUUUUGUGUUUUUAGUUUGUUUUAUUUAUUUUUUUUUGUGUGUGUGCAAACCUGCAUUGGAUUGUCGUAUGUCUUGGAAAUAUAUCUUUAUAUCAUUUAAAUGAUUUGGUUCAAAUUAAAAUGCUCUGGAAAGCUUGAUAAUAAAUGAAAUAUCAAAAAGAAUGUCUAUAGCUGAAUAAGCACAAGGGUUACUUUGCACAGAUCCAUCUAGAACCAGGCAGGUCAGGGAUUUCCAUUAAAAAAAAAAAACAACUUAAAAAAUGUCUCAUUGUUAAACGCAACUUUUAGGUAAGAAUUUUUAAAGUUUGCCCCAGCAGGCUAUAAACUCAAUGUUCAAAGCUGAUAUAUGAUACAAAAGCUGAAAUUUGGACAAUGAACAGAACAUUUUUGUUUUAAAUGAACUGUUUUAAACUUCCCACUCCAGGUUAAUUAACCGAAGGUUACUUUUUUAUGCUAAAAUUAUUGUAAAACCCAUUUCCUGAGGCAUUGCUGACCCUAAGCCUAAUAAUAAUAAAUAUACAUAAUUCUCAUCCUUUUUUGAAAAGUGAUAAAUUCUUCCAGUACUAGUUGGUUGCUGUAUUAUAAGACCCCUGUGUAGUGUUAUGAAAUUUCUGCAGUCGUCCUUUAAGCACUUGCGCUCAUUAUAAACUGGUUUGUAACCCUCCGAGGCAAAUUUUAAAAAUUCAUUUCUGAAUUUUGUGUGAUUGUUUAAAUGAAAUAAAAAAAAAAAAUCAUAA